Chinchilla lanigera (long-tailed chinchilla) is the source of this 2233-nucleotide long non-coding RNA. NCBI's taxonomy places the organism in Eukaryota, Metazoa, Chordata, Mammalia, Rodentia, Chinchillidae. The record is from Ensembl.
UAGGAGAGGGCGGGUCCGGAGGCCUCGCAGGUUAUGUACAUUCCAUGCAGGGCGGGUCCCGACAAGUAUGCAUAUUCUGAGGGGGCGUGUCUUGAGCCCGGUGGAUCAUGCAUAUUCUAUGAGAGGGCGGAUCCGGGAGCGCCAUGGAUAAUGCAUAUUCUAUGAAGGGAGGGUCUCGAGGACUAAAAGUUAUGCAUAUUCCAUUAGGGGAGGGUCCCGAGGCCCGCGGAUAAUGCAUAUUCUAUAAGGGGCGGGCCCCGAGGUGCCUGCCUGCUUUGCCCCUUGCCUAGCCACCUCUGCGCCUCCUCACCCAGCCCACGGAGCCCGCGGCCUGAGGACAGAGCUGCUGCGUCCCCAGGGAACGCUGUGGGCCGGAUGGGGCCUGGUGUCUGUCCCUUAGCUUCCUGAAGACCGAGGAGGGAGCCCGAGCCUCCCUCCCGGGAAGUUAGAUGAAGAGGGGACGAGGAGGAAGGCGGCAGGGCACCCAGGCGUUAGCACCCCGGGCGUAAGGACGCACCGACUAGGAAGGCGCUUCUGGUUAGUAAUCGGAGCUGGCACCAGGCCUAACCUUGUCCACGGAGUGAUUUAUUCAUACUUGCAGUGAACCUAAGGGCAGGAACUCGUCCUUAAGGGCCAAGAGAGCCGAGUGAGGGGGUCCAGGGAGGCCUCAGCACGCUGCUCCAAAUGGCAAACACACCACUCGGGGACAGAAAAGCGCUCUCCUUCCUCGGCGACGAAACACUUCCCGGAAAGUGCAAAGCCAGCCCUAGUCCAGGAUCAGGUAGGACUCGAGGUAUCUCUACAGAAGUCUUUUCGGCAGUGCUGAGGAGCGAACCUAGGGCCUCCUGCACGCUGGGCAAGGGCUCCACCACUGAGCGCAUCCUUAGCCCCCAGGCGGCUGCUUUUUAAACUAGAAUCUGGCCUUUUGCUAUUGUAGUCUGGGAAGCUGACCCUCUUUUGGGGGUUCUAGAAUCCUAGAUGGCUGACUUGGGGCCGCAGAGGAAGCUGCUGGGAACUCGGAGAGCCGGGCUGCCUCUGCGCUGCGAGCAUCUGUUGCCAGGCAACCGCGGCACAACACCACCGCUCUCCCGCAACGCGCAUCCGGCGGCUGGCACCCGGGCUCGCCUUGAGCAGCGCCGGCCAGCAGAGGGCGCAGGCCGACAGGACCGGAACGUCCCGGCCCCAAAGCUGCCGGCGAGGGCCAUGUUCCAGGAGAACAUAAAAGGCACAAAAUCGAACCGGACCCCAGGGAGCCCGGCACCUGACUCCGUCCAUGCUGGACUUCAGCCUCCCCUGCAGACAGCGUUCUUCUGUUCACAGCGAGUCACCGGACAGUGAGCCGCUGGGCAAGCUGGGCCUCCGCACCCACAUUCACAAGUUCGUCCUCUGCAGCUGCUGCCGUCCACAGAGAUGGCUCACAGCAAGGGUAAGAGAGCCACGAGAGCGAUUUCUUCUGUUCCUCAUCAGCUGGGGCAGUGAGACCAGUCACAGGCUGAGCAUCCCUAUCCAGAAACCCCAAGCUGGAGAUGCGUCACCAUCUGCCGCUUUCUGAGUGCUGAGCUGAUGCCAUGAGUGGAAAGUCCCAAGCCUCAGCUCAGGGGACCGAUCACAGUCAAGACACAGGACAUGGAGAGUGCGUACAGUGACCUCGGGAGACAGCGUGGGAUGUGAGGAGGAGGCGCCCGGGUUGCUGAGAUGCCCUCAGGGUGGGACAGACCUGCCCGCGAACACAGCACGGAGGAGGCACAGCCCAGGGUGGACAGUGCGGAAGGAAUACGGAAACGAGGAAACAGACUGCACCUUCUGUGAGGUGCCCGACCCCAGCACUGGGCCCAGGGAAGAGGUCAGCAGGGGGCCACCACGCGGUGCUCGGCCCAGCCGCCGCUCACCUCAGUGCCCGCUGAGGCCAGCUGUUCUGGGGGGACCAAGGACCGGGCGGCGGACCCCUAGUACCGACUGUCGCCCCAGUUACUGGGGCUGUGCCUUGUCCCUUCUGAUCCUGGACUGUGCGGAAAUCAAUGGGGAGGGGCACAGUGAGCUUCGGGGCCCAGGCGGGUCGUGGGCUUGGAGCUCAAGGCUGAGACCCGGGGGAGAGGGACAGACGCCUGCCACCGUCCCUGAGAGGCUACUGGACAUGCAGCAGCAGAAACAAACCGCGCCGGGGCUUUCAUCCUGACCAACAGAGCAGGACCACUGUCCUCUUCCUAAUUAAAAAAAAAAUGUUUUCCUCAUU